Acanthochromis polyacanthus (spiny chromis) is the source of this 8220-nucleotide long non-coding RNA. RefSeq lists it as uncharacterized. The record is from RefSeq and is a predicted model, not a curated record. The transcript has 4 exons. NCBI's taxonomy places the organism in Eukaryota, Metazoa, Chordata, Actinopteri, Pomacentridae.
GGUCCGACUCCCCCGUGAGCGAGCUCUCAUCGAUCUUCAGAUCAUUGCCCUGGAUGAGGACUCCGUCAGCAGGCAAGAGGUCACCUGAAAAGCACACAAACAGCCUCCUGUUGAAUCACUUCCUUCCUCCGGUUUUCAGCCUUACCAUCCCAUCUUUUCCUCAAUCUCCCCGAGACGUUGCCCCCGCUUCUCGUUUAUGUAGGUCACAGCCCAGAGAGACGACAGAAAAGCUCCAAGGCGGUUUUUCUGGCAGGGCGGCAGGGCGGCAGCGGCGGCGGUGGCAGUGGUGUUAGUGGUGGAAGGGGAGAGCAUUGGGAGCAUCGGUUCCGGAGCCAUGUGGCAUUGUACCUGCUCAUCCAUAAUGGAUGAGGGCCAGCAAUAAUGGAUGAGGCUGGAUGUGCAGAUCUAUGAAGCUAUCGAUGCAGCGUGUGCACAUCAGCUCAACUACAACUCUGCACAGACGGUGUUAUACUACUCUAUGCUACACAAUGGUCAGCUCAGUAGAGAGCACUCUGUGAUAAUGAGCUGCUCCACUUUCAUGACAGAUGGAAAAUGUGCAGCAUGCCACGCUCCGCUCCUCCCUUCCCUUCUCCACUCCACUUCGUCCAGUUUGCCUGACCAUCCGGCCGCUUGCCCGCCCGCCGGCCCCGAAAACGCCGCCACCACCGCCGGCACAGCUUCGAUAUCAAAUGAUGGGGAUGCGGCAAAACGAGAGGAGGAGCUGCCGUGGAGUUGAGGCAGUGGAAAAAGCGUCUCACCCACUUCAUCAAUAUUGCAGCCUCACCUGGUGAAAGCUAACACCGGCUAACAUAUUCCAUCAUGUCACUGGAAGAGAGGAUCAGAUGCCUUGGCUUGACAUGCCAACAUUGUUACCUGUACAAAUGAUGACGCAAAGCUCGAUCCAUUAUUCAUGGUCCCUUUAAAGGAGCAGGAGAAGUUUGGAGGCAUUGGAAAACGGAGUGUGUUCAAGAGUGCGAUUAUCUACAAGGAGGUCACGGUUAUUCUUUGAGGCUGAAAAAGGUGAGAACCGGCGGGAAGGUGAAGAACGAGAGCUCCUCCUGGCGCAACAAGGCUGGCAAGAUUAAACCGAUCUUAAGAUGUAUGCAUGAUGUUCUUCACAGGUAAUAAAGUUGCAAAUAUAAAGAACACACAUGCAGCAAUUGAGUAAAAGAACUCAAACAUAUGCACAUCUUUACACUAUUGAUUCAUGUAUUGGGGCCUUUAAAUCUCUCUGCCUACAAUGCACAGAAUGAGCUGUAAUAACAAACAUGAUGCAGGUUACUUUAUCUGCAUGAAUUUUACAUGAAGUUAUAAUUUUUGCAAGAUCUUGCACUACUUGUUUUCAUUCUUUUCCUCAAUCCUCAGUGCUUUCCUUUGGCAAACAAGAACCAGUGGGCUGUAAUGUUUAUCAAGUGUAGCUGAAUUAUGUUGGUCCUACAUAAAAAUUGAACUGUACUGAUUUGUCAUAGAUUAUGUCAACACGUGGACGAAGGAACAAACUUGGUGCUAGCACCUGUUGGAGGUUAGAAACUCAAAACUUUACAGAUUUUAAGUGAACAAAUAACCUUCACAGUAGCUGGCAAAGAGACGACCCAGCACGUCUAACUGUUUUUAAUCAACCUUCCUAUUAUUAGUCACUCAGACCAAUACUGCAGCUCUGUGGAACAAUGAAGGAAACCUGAGCGCCGCUUUAAACAGACUCACGUUCGUGAUAUUCUGUUGUUGAAGCUGCUCCUCUCAGCUCUGCUAUCUGCAGCUUAUCUCAUUGGUCAGUGGGCGAGUGCUGUCAUCGCAGACUGUAUGCAUGGGAUCGCGUGUGUGUAUAUGUGUGUGUUCGUGUGUGGGGUGUGUAACACAGUCUGGCUGAGGUCAGGGUUGGUGCACAUUUAAUCUGCUCUCUGUUUCCAGGCCACUCCAAGGACUUUGACACAUCACUUCUGUAUCUAUUAUUCACAAGUGGAUAGAGACUUUCAAAUAGUGUGUGCAUGCGCACAUGUGUGUCUGUGCAACAAAUUGUCCUUCAGUAGCACAAUGCGGCUCAAAAUUAGAAUUUUUUUGUAGCUAUAAUAUCAACCCUAUUGCAUAAUCACAGAAUUUCUACCACAUACAAACUUGCACUCGCACACGGGCACACUGUGCUCCCACUCCAGUUGCACAACCCCUGAAUUUUAGGGAUAGAAUGGCCUGGUUUCAUAAGCAGUCUGCUGCCUACUGGCAGCUGUGCUGUCAGAUGAGGUCAUUACUUGGGGCGGGCCACAAGCACAGACAGGGCAGAACGCUGGACACAAUGGUAAAAAACCACAGAGUGUGAAUGAGAAUGACAGCCAGGGGCGACCCCGGAGCUGCGGUGAUCCUGUCUGGGGAGGUUGUAGGGCAUUUGUAUUGUUUCUGUUUUGAGUCGUGUUACCUCGCUGGUGGUGCAGCCAUGCAUUGAAGUAAACAGGGAACAGAGGAGAUGAAUGAUGCUUGUGUGUUGGUGUGUGAGCGCAGGCUGGUAUUACUAUCAGCUCAGUGCCAGGGUCGAGUGAAUGGCCUCAGUGUUAUCUCUGGAGCACAGCUUGUUUACCCUAAUGAACACAACUCCAACUCCACUACAGCCAAUUGUAAAGAGGGGCAUUUACCUAUUGGCAUUGCCCCAAAGAGAAAAACAUGAAAUAAAAAAAAAAAUCACUGUGGAUAUGAAUAUACAUGAGAACAAUGUCAUAUCUGCUCACUGAAGUACAGUUCUGUGGAUACUUACAUGCCUCCUUAAACAAACACUAAUAACUGGCAGACACUGAUGGCUCUUUUCAACUCCCCAUUGUUUAACAGAGGUAAUUUUCUGCCUUUCUGAUAACUUGCUCAUCAGGACAUGCAGAGCUGCAAAGUGCUGCACUGUCAGCUGAGCCACUUAAUUUGACAUCCGUACCGGGAAACGCUUUCAGCUCUUUCCAUGAAAGUAAAGACUUAAUUUAAUGUCAAUAUUCAACAUGUCCCUGAAGAAGACUUGCUCUAAUACUGCAGGGGAGUAGAGCACUCAAAUCGUUUCAUCCAGUAGCUAAAGCUUCUUUAAAUCCCUCCAAACAUGAAUUUUUGACCAAUAGGAAAAUAGUUAAUAUGAUGGGAGUAAAACGCUACUCCAUCCAAUGGUCGAGCACCUCAGUUGUUUACCCAAAUCUCUGAAAUCCCUCCGUGAAUGUUUAUUCAGCCAAUGCGAGGGCAGUAGCCCUGGUGCACAAGGACGAAUGGCUGCCUGCGGGUCUAUGGUGAUGCUGUGCUGCAUAAGGCUGUGCCAUGGCGUGCGUGUGACCAUUACAUCAUGGCUAGUUCUUGACCAGUCUGCACCACACACAAUCACGUGACCUCCUGCUGACAUCUCAGGAGCACCGCUGUGCUGAUCUGAUCAUGACUUUUGCGGUGAGACGAUUUCCUACCGGCAUCCUGCUGUGAGUGUGUCUUAAUCCCUCUGUGCAGUAGGUUGUUUUGAAGAAGCGACUACAGAGCGUGACGGAUGUGUACAAGUGUGCACACGCCUCAUUGCCUGCGUGUAAAUGUGACUGUUUAGCUGCGACUGUUGUCCGUAUUCCUUCUUUUUGUGGAUUGUUUUCUAUGUCACCUCUUUAACCUCUAGCUUCCCCACCCCUCCUCCACUCUGCACCCCACUAAAGCCGCUUUGAGCUCUUUGCUCUGACAUCACCAUAGUCAUCAUCAGUAGGCAUGGGCCAGACCAUUAUGUGAGUAACCAGGGGGAGAUUACACACGAAUCAAAGCUUUUUAGUCCAGCCUUGGCACAAGACAGACUCUGGAAACCCACCAAAGGAUCAAACAAUGGUAAUUCUCUGCUUUUUUUCCGCAGCAUCUUUGUUUCAAACUCCUUGUGCAGACGGUCGAUGCUUUAGCAGACAAAAAGUGUGCCGACGUCCCUCGGGCGGAGAAGGAAUGCUCCAAAAAUCUCUACAUCAGCAGAAUGAAACUGCCACUCUCCCUCCAGCUCGCUCUCCAUCUUUUUGUUCUGAGUCGUAAGUGCGAGGUCAUGCCCCGCAGAUCUGUGCUGGACAAGAGAUAAAAUGAAAGAGACAGAAAGCGUCAAGAACAAAAACAGACAAUGUACAGAAGCCAAACUGUAUGUCCGAUAGUGUUCUUAUGUCUCGCCCUGACAGCUCUCAGGUAGUCCUGGUCUGAACUCUGUGACACUUUAGCAAAGGGGCCAGAGGUGGUCAGAGAAGUUUCCACAGGCUUAUUAAGCCGACCGUGAUACUUCAAGAACAAACUGUAAAAUAUACUGAGGUGCAAGUUGCAUGUGUUUUCACUGAAACUUAGCAACACUGUGACUACAAAGGUGAGUGUACAGGAGGUGAAAGCAACAUGUGAGGCAGCCUCCAUGUGUCUAUACAGACUUCCUCAGGCUCAGGAUGGAGUGUUGAUCAUCCUUUGAAAUGAAGGAAUAAUAAGACAAAAAAAAAAUCUGAAUAACUUGUAAAAACAUGAAUUAAAAAGUAUAAAACUAAGUGGCACAUGCACAAGCAGGCAAGGAGCUUCCUUUGGCACCGUGCUGCUACACUCUGUCACUCUGACAUGACACGGAUCUUUGAUGCAUGUCAUUCCUCUUUCUUGGUUAACUAUUUUCCUGUUUGCAUGUUGAUUGUGAGCAAUUGAACAGAGGCAAAAAAGCCCCCCAAGUCUUUAAAAAUGGAAAAGAAGAUGCCAAACACAAGUUCUCGCAGCAGAACAUAUAAAACAGCUUAGAACAGCAGUGGCUCUGUAGAUAUGAUUUAAGGGACUAAUCAAUUGAUGUUGAACUAAUAACUGUUUAAAUUUAAAAAAAUAAAUAAAUCAGUGGACAAUAAGUUUAGGAUAAAUGAUGAAUGGACUGUGAUAAUUUUUGUACUCCACAAUACAUUUUCAUGUUAAAAAGGAAACUGGAAGAUUGAACUGGAUAUUGAAAUGCCAAACUGACACGGGGAAAUGGCAAAAUGAAAAUGAAAAGUGUAAUACGAAAUCCAGAACAUAGAGAAGCUUGAUCAAAACACUUGAAAUAAAAACUAAACACACAAGGUUGAAUUGAAAUGUUUCAUGGAAAACGGGAAAUAAGACGAUAUGUAAGAAGAGAUGAAAGUGAAAAUGAAUUACUCGGACAUAGUUAUCUAUUUUUUAAUCCAUUUUCUGUGUGUAAAUGAUUUAAAAAAAAUUUAAAACAGUAUGAUGGAUUAUGUGAAAUUUUCUUUGUAUCAUUUUCCUUAAAAAAAAAUUCAAUCUAGGUGCACUUGUCCUCCAUAUAAAACAGUCAUGACUUGUGCUUGUGAGUCACUGCAUGGAAAACAAACUUGGUUGACACACUAUCAGGACACAACAACCUGUAAGAAAAUAUUUGGAAAUACUGCUUGACCAUGUAGUAGUAUCAGAGUGCAAACAUGAUGUUAAGCAAAUGUCACUAAUGCAGGUGUUCACAAAUGCUCAUGUAUACAACAGCUGCUGAGGCCACAAACACACCACUGAAGAGAUAGCGAUGCUUCACUCCCUCUUUCACUCCCAACCACAAGAGACAGAAACCCAUAAACAAGGGGCUCGGAGUUUCCACCGGACGACCACAUUCUCACACCAAGCAUCUCAAAAAUAACGUUCAGUAACAUACUGGAGAACAUUAUCUGGCCUAUUUGGGGUUUAAAGUGAGCCACUGAGUCAUUCUGCACCAUUUUUAAAAAAAAAGAAAAAAAAAAGUGGUAGUUGACCACAUGUAAAGUCUGGGGUUAGUUUUUGAGUUAAAAUUUCUAAAAGAGGUGUGGCUUCAUGUUGAUUUUUUGCACCGUUUCCUUCGUACCAGUCUGCGGAGCAAUGUUUGAUGUGCCACAACUUGAGAAAUUAUGUAGCUGAGGUAAUGAUUUUUUAAUUACUUGAAGCACUAUGAGAAGGCUGCACAGUGGCUCAGUGGCUAGCACUGACACUAGAAGAUCUCCGGUUUGCAUACCAGCCUGGGCCUGGGAUCUUUCUGCAUGGAGUUUGGAUGUUUUCUCUGUGCAUGCGUGGGUUUUCUCCAGGUAGUCUGACUUCUUCCCACAGUCCAAAACAUGCUGUUUCUACAUUGUCCGUAGGCGUGAAUGUGAGUGAGCUUGUUUGUCUCUAUGUGUGGCCCUGUGAUAGACUGGGUGUCCAAUGCCCUCACCCAAAGUCAGGUGGGAUAGGCUCCAGCUGUGACCCUAAUGAGGAUUAAGCAGUAUGUAGGUAAUGGAUGGAUGGAAGCACUAUGAGUUGGAAAACCAUGAUUUUUCUUUCAGCCCAGUAACAAUAUUAGACAGCUCUUCCAUAUGAGACAACUAUAGGAAUGGUUCCACCAUCAUACCUUCUCAAUGCAUGCUCAGAUAUGGGCCCGAAAUGCAAAAAAAACGUAAUUUUAAUAUUUAUUUUUUUUCCUCAGAGUACAGUAUGAUCUGACUGGAAUCAUACUCUGCAUUUUUAUAGCUCCUAUUGGUGCCAAUUACACGAAAUAAGUGAGCCUCUUCGAUUGGAGAUUUAUUUAUUGUCGUGCACAGAAACUAGGCGGGUACACUGUACAAUGAAUGAAAUUCUUAUUUUGGUGAUCCUCCUUAACCAAAUGACACAAUGUAUAAAAAUGUACAAAAACUAAAGCAAUUACUAAGCAAAAAAUAAGCAGACUUAAACUGACAGCAGCGGUGGUUGGUCAUAAAGUGCACUGUGCAUUUGUAAACCGGGCUUGCACAUAGUGACUAUUGCAGUAAUAAUGUGAACUGGAGUAGUAUAAAGUGCGUACUGCAACGGUAAGCAGUGUGGCUUAGGAUGAAAAAUUAAUGUUUUAUGGUUGGUGGAAUAUUGGAGUCGAAAAAUACGUGGACAUUUUUUGAUCAUAUAACUGGUUUGUAAUAUUCUAUCAAAGCAGGGUUUUGACAUUAAAGACCAUAUGUGCAUGUCAAUGUAGCGACAAAAUCUCAGGACUCAAGCUGCUAUUUCUCAAGUUUUGACACUUCAGACAUUGACACUGGUGUGAAGAAAGCGCUGCAAAAAUCAAAAUGACCCCACCCCUCUUUAAGAAUUUUGAACUCAUGUUACCUAUGAGCCCAGAUUUUCUACGUGUUGUACUUAACAUAUGUAUGCACCGUCUAUACACACACUCUUCAGCACACAUUCAUUUUUACCCUUGCAGUCCUGUAACAGAACCUUUCAAACUAAACAUUAACACCUGCUAUAUCCGAGGAAAUGGAAGCACAUCCACGAGCUAAACCGACCGACAGCGCUUUUAGCUGGCUAAAAUCCCCCCCCAUCUCCACUUGCUAAAGGACUUUCCAGGUUCCACUGUGUGUCCAGCGCUAGCUGACAUAAUGUUGUAUUAACAGAUCAUGUGGAUGGAUGAUUCACAUUCCUGCUCGGACACCCUUGGCAUGGCAUUACUACAGCUGGGAAGCCCCACUCUGGAAGCCCCUAAAUGUCCCCAGAACUUCCCCCAGCAGCAGCUCCACUUCAGCCCCUCAUUCCAGGCCGCUAAGCUGGCAGUGGGCGAAGUUAAAAAUAAACUGGCCGAGACACCACGUUGGUCCUGAUGACAUAUGUCUCCAUGGCAACCCGAGACGACAAGUCGUUGGAGGUCAAAGGUGGGAUCUUGAGAGAAUCAUGUGACCUUGGGGACUCGGAGCUGCAGAGAGCCGCGUUGGUCAGGAAAGCAGCUGCAGCAACAGCGAGGAAAAUCCCCUCUGUGGGAGAAAGAGAGCGAGGCUUCUCUCUUUCCGUCUCUGCCCUCCGCGAUCACUCACUCCAAAAUAUAAACAUGCCCUCUGCAACUGAGCUGAAGUCAUUGUGUCAUUUUGCCAACAGCGGUUUUCAGCUGGACAUUUUCAAUUAUGUAUAAUCCAAAAUGGAGGUCAGUCUCUCCUUCCCUCUUUUUUUUUUUCUUCCUCGCUGCUGAAAAUGUAUGAAAUUUCCCCGAGAGGAAAUGAAGCCCGCAAUCGUUUCUUCAUAUCAACAUUGCAAUAAAGAGCUGAAGGCCUGGGUUCUCUUCACAGCUGGUGUCUGUUUUACAUGAAUGGUACAUUCAUUUGUCUGGUCAUUCUUAAAUAAAAUAUGCAUGUUGGGUUUAGUAAUGUCUGAUUUUGUUUGAAAAAUCCUAGCCUGAAGAGUCAAUUUAAAAGCACUUAGUGCACAUAGUUGAGUACUAUGUUUUUGUGUGCUGUAAUUCAGAAUAAACUUUCUAUUUUGAGUAUUUUUAAGUUGAAAUAAAGAUGAAUUCAUAUCUUC